AGAGAGUUUAGUCCCUCCUUAACCCUCCAAAUGGUUUAAUUUGGUCAAAGGGGUAAAAAAAAAUCUUAACAAGGGUCAGAAAGAUUUACUCAAUUUGUUGACGUUUCCUGAUAUCAUGUUUUUCUGUUCAAGAAAACAUUGAGAAAGUUAUCUUUUUUAGAUGAAAGUUUUUUUUAGGGAUACGAAGAAAAGAGUUAUAUUUAAAGAAAUUGUGAAAUAGAUAUCAUGUAUGCAAUGCUUUGUUUAUGGUUUCAGGAUGUAUAGUUUCAGGAUGAAAUUCUCUGAUUUUGUUAUGUAAGUUUACACUUAUAUUAAUAAAUCACUUCCCAAAAUUACAGGAUGUUUCUCUCUGAUUCAUGUAGCCGCGUAUGUGUUUGAAGAUCUCUGAUUUCAUGUAGCUGUGUAUGGUCUCCUUAUUUACCAAUGUUACUUGAGCUUUCUUUGACAAUCAGCCAACUUAUACAGAAAUGACGAAAACCAAGAUUGAGAUUGAUACUGACAGGUUCCUAGCGAGUAUUUAACAUUGAGGCACAAGUUUUUGGAAACAAAUAGAGAAUAUAAAGUCUUUGACCGAGAAGUUUCAUGUUUUGUAAUCAAAUGUUGAUGUUGUUUGAAUAUUAGUUCGGUACGAUAUUUUCUGAGUUGAAAUGUUGGUAGUGCAGAUUUAAUACUUUAUAGUUUUUAUACUAUACCGAUGUAUAUUGGCACUUAUUAUUAUGGUUGAUUAUGCUCAACAUUUUCACUUUGA
This is a long non-coding RNA of Asparagus officinalis (garden asparagus), 748 nucleotides long. RefSeq lists it as uncharacterized. The record is from RefSeq and is a predicted model, not a curated record. NCBI's taxonomy places the organism in Eukaryota, Viridiplantae, Streptophyta, Magnoliopsida, Asparagales, Asparagaceae. The transcript is spliced from 2 exons.